GGGCGUGUGGCUCAGUUGGUAGAGCGUUCGCUUAGCAUUCCUAGUUCAUCUCUUUCUCGUCAGAGUCAGUGUCUGUGUUCCGGUUAUGCGAAAGGUCCUGGGUUCGAUUCCCAGCUCGUCCA
This is a non-coding RNA of Collariella sp. IMI 366227, 122 nucleotides long. The record is from the annotation of a GenBank genome assembly. Lineage: Eukaryota; Fungi; Ascomycota; Sordariomycetes; Sordariales; Chaetomiaceae.